Molecule: ribosomal RNA, 531 nt
Filed under: uncultured bacterium
Lineage: Bacteria
Description: bacterial SSU rRNA
Rfam family: Bacterial small subunit ribosomal RNA
Source: RNAcentral
UGGGGAAUAUUGCACAAUGGGCGGAAGCCUGAUGCAGCAACGCCGCGUGAGGGAUGACGGCCUUCGGGUUGUAAACCUCUUUUAGCAAGGAAGAAGCUUUUGUGACGGUACUUGCAGAAAAAGCGCCGGCUAACUACGUGCCAGCAGCCGCGGUAAUACGUAGGGCGCAAGCGUUAUCCGGAAUUAUUGGGCGUAAAGAGCUCGUAGGCGGUUUGUCGCGUCUGCUGUGAAAUCCCGAGGCUCAACCUCGGGCCUACAGUGGGUACGGGCAGACUAGAGUGCGGUAGGGGAGAUUGGAAUUCCUGGUGUAGCGGUGGAAUGCGCAGAUAUCAGGAGGAACACCGAUGGCGAAGGCAGAUCCCUGGGCCGUAACUGACGCUGAGGAGCGAAAGGGUGGGGAGCAAACAGGCUUAGAUACCCUGGUAGUCCACCCCGUAAACGUUGGGAACUAGUUGUGGGGUCCUUUCCACGGAUUCCGUGACGCAGCUAACGCAUUAAGUUCCCCGCCUGGGGAGUACGGCCGCAAGGCUA